CGAUGGAUUCCGCCGACUCCUGGAUAUAUGAAGUUAAAUGUUGAUGCGGCGGUGACAAAGUCAACUAAUAAGGGCUCGGUUGGGGUGGUAUGCCGUAAUGAGCAGGGGAAGUUCAGAGGUGCGUCUUCUGUGGUUUUUGAAGGAAUGAUCGAUCCUGAAACUCUAGAAACACUCGCGUGCCGCGAGGCGAUUGCCCUGAGCGAAGACCUAGGCUUUGAGACCGUGCAAAUAUCAUCUGACUGUCUGAGAGUCAUCCGGGAGCUCGAGUUGGAGACAAAUCUGGGGCGCAUUGCAUGGUUCUACAUGACAUCAAAGAUAGAAGCAAUCUAUUUCGAUCUUGCAUUUUCAGCUUUGAACAGCCCAACAACAAUGGGGAAGCUCACAGGCUAG
This 390-nucleotide ribosomal RNA is filed under the name Triticum aestivum (bread wheat). Its description in RNAcentral is "partial small subunit ribosomal RNA". The record is from RNAcentral. Lineage: Eukaryota; Viridiplantae; Streptophyta; Magnoliopsida; Poales; Poaceae.